This 532-nucleotide ribosomal RNA is filed under the name uncultured bacterium. RNAcentral describes it as "partial 16S ribosomal RNA". It matches the Rfam family "Bacterial small subunit ribosomal RNA", at positions 355 to 874 of the family's 1533-position model. The record is from RNAcentral.
UGGGGAAUAUUGCACAAUGGGCGCAAGCCUGAUGCAGCCAUGCCGCGUGUGUGAAGAAGGCCUUCGGGUUGUAAAGCACUUUCAGCGAGGAGGAAGGUGGUGAGCUUAAUACGCUCAUCAAUUGACGUUACUCGCAGAAGAAGCACCGGCUAACUCCGUGCCAGCAGCCGCGGUAAUACGGAGGGUGCAAGCGUUAAUCGGAAUUACUGGGCGUAAAGCGCACGCAGGCGGUUUGUUAAGUCAGAUGUGAAAUCCCCGGGCUCAACCUGGGAACUGCAUUUGAAACUGGCAAGCUAGAGUCUCGUAGAGGGGGGUAGAAUUCCAGGUGUAGCGGUGAAAUGCGUAGAGAUCUGGAGGAAUACCGGUGGCGAAGGCGGCCCCCCUGGACGAAGACUGACGCUCAGGUGCGAAAGGCGUGGGGCAGCAAACAGGAUUAGAUACCCUGGUAGUCCACGCUGUAAAACGAUGUCGAUUUGGAGGUUGUGCCCCUUGAGGCGUGGCUUCCGGAGCUAACGCGUUAAAUCGACCGCCU